Molecule: ribosomal RNA, 253 nt
Filed under: uncultured bacterium
Lineage: Bacteria
Description: partial 16S ribosomal RNA
Rfam family: Bacterial small subunit ribosomal RNA
Source: RNAcentral
UACGUAGGGGGCAAGCGUUGUCCGGAUUUAUUGGGCGUAAAGAGCGUGUAGGCGGCCUGACAGGUCUGCUGUGAAAACUCGAGGCUCAACCUCGAGAUGUCGGCGGAAACCGUCUGGCUAGAGUCCGGAAGAGGAGAGUGGAAUUCCUGGUGUAGCGGUGGAAUGCGCAGAUAUCAGGAGGAACACCAAUAGCGAAGGCAGCUCGCUGGGACGUUACUGACACUGAGGCGCGAAAGCGUGGGGAGCGAACAGG